This 254-nucleotide ribosomal RNA is filed under the name uncultured bacterium. RNAcentral describes it as "partial 16S ribosomal RNA". It matches the Rfam family "Bacterial small subunit ribosomal RNA", at positions 524 to 776 of the family's 1533-position model. The record is from RNAcentral.
UACGUAGGGCGCAAGCGUUGUCCGGAAUUAUUGGGCGUAAAGAGCUCGUAGGCGGUUUGUCGCGUCUGUCGUGAAAGCUUGGGGCUUAACCCCAGGUCUGCGGUGGAUACGGGCAUGACUGGAGUUCGGUAGGGGAGACUGGAAUUCCUGGUGUAGCGGUGAAAUGCGCAGAUAUCAGGAGGAACACCGGUGGCGAAGGCGGGUCUCUGGGCCGAUACUGACGCUGAGGAGCGAAAGCGUGGGGAGCAAACAGG